This 492-nucleotide ribosomal RNA is filed under the name uncultured bacterium. Its description in RNAcentral is "partial 16S ribosomal RNA". It matches the Rfam family "Bacterial small subunit ribosomal RNA", at positions 29 to 507 of the family's 1533-position model. The record is from RNAcentral.
AGUGAACGCUGGCGGUAGGCCUAACACAUGCAAGUCGAACGGCAGCACAGUAAGAGCUUGCUCUUACGGGUGGCGAGUGGCGGACGGGUGAGGAAUACAUCGGAAUCUACUUUUUCGUGGGGGAUAACGUAGGGAAACUUACGCUAAUACCGCAUAUGACCUACGGGUGAAAGCAGGGGAUCUUCGGACCUUGCGCGAUUGAAUGAGCCGAUGUCGGAUUAGCUAGUUGGCGGGGUAAAGGCCCACCAAGGCGACGAUCCGUAGCUGGUCUGAGAGGAUGAUCAGCCACACUGGAACUGGGACACGGUCCAGACUCCUACGGGAGGCAGCAGUGGGGAAUAUUGGACAAUGGGCGCAAGCCUGAUCCAGCCAUACCGCGUGGGUGAAGAAGGCCUUCGGGUUGUAAAGCCCUUUUGUUGGGAAAGAAAAGCAGCAGGUUAAUACCCCGCUGUUCUGACGGUACCCAAAGAAUAAGCACCGGCUAACUUCGUG